This is a non-coding RNA of Drosophila melanogaster (fruit fly), 676 nucleotides long. NCBI's taxonomy places the organism in Eukaryota, Metazoa, Arthropoda, Insecta, Diptera, Drosophilidae. The record is from Ensembl.
CGCCGACGUUGGUGGUGGUGCUCCGUACUGUGGUUGUUGUUGCUGCUGCUGCGGAGGCAGUUGUUGCUGCGGCGGCUGCUGCUGCGGUAGUUGUUGUUGCUGCGGUGGCCAACCUCCGGAAUUCGGAGGAGGAGCCCCAAACUGGGGUUGCUGCUGGAACUGCGUGGGCGGUGGCCCGUACAUAUUCGGAUUCAUUUCUGGCCCGGAUUAAUCACCUGGGUUUUAGCGGAGAGGGUCGACGCUAAGCCAACAAACAACUUUCACGGAAAACGAAGAGAAAACACACACGGAUUGGCUCAAAGUUCGCCACGGCGAUUUAGCAAUUUCGGGGGCUGCUCGGCCUGAUUCCUGACCACUGACUCCUCGAUUUUGGCCACUCGGUGUUGGCCUCAACUCUCGACGGCCGCGGCGGACGAUCGCUGGUUGAAAAACAAGAAUAAUUUCGAGCUAAACGAACUUCCACGUCAGUUCCCUAAUUCGAUCUUUUUUGCUCUUUUUGCCUUGCCACGUAAGCUAUCGGUAAUCGGCAGUGGAAAAUCGAAUGUCAAUCGAUUGUGCUCUUUCGGCUGCCAUCGCCGAAUCGAUAAUCGUGUUGAACUUAACAGCGCUGCUGUUAGCGAACAGCUGCGAGUUAUGUUAUGUGUAAGGUGGUGCAAUAGAAUGCAGUGACGUCAUU